CAGAGCGUGGGAAGAAAAGGGGGCCUGGGGCAGCCCAGGCAUGUGGGGACCAGGGGUUGUGUCCACCAUGGCCUGGACUCCUCUCCUCCUCGUGCUCCUCUCUCACUGCACAGGUUCCCUGUCCCAGCCUGUGCUGACCCAGCCGCCCUCCCUCUCUGCAUCUCCUGGAGCAUCUGCCAGACUCACCUGCGCCCUGAGCAGUGGCUUCAGUGUUGGUGACUUCAGGAUAACCUGGUUACAGCAAGAGCCUGGAGGCCCUCCCCACUAUCUCCUGAACUACUACUCAGACUCCGACAAGCACCAGGGCUCCGGGGUCCCCAGCCGCUUCUCUGGAUCCAAGGACACCUCGGCCAAUGCAGGAGUUCUGCACAUCUCUGGGCUGCAGCCUGAGGACGAGGCCCACUAUUACUGUACGACUUAUCAUGGAGGUGCUGGUGUUUACACGAUGCUUCCCACACAUGGGAAGUGAGACUAAAACCUCCCCUGUGCUCUCCCUGCCCGGAGCCCUCAAUCGU
Non-coding RNA from Tupaia belangeri chinensis (Chinese tree shrew), 515 nucleotides. The record is from the annotation of a RefSeq genome assembly. Lineage: Eukaryota; Metazoa; Chordata; Mammalia; Scandentia; Tupaiidae.